This 301-nucleotide ribosomal RNA is filed under the name uncultured bacterium. RNAcentral describes it as "partial 16S ribosomal RNA". It matches the Rfam family "Bacterial small subunit ribosomal RNA", at positions 509 to 809 of the family's 1533-position model. The record is from RNAcentral.
CAGCAGCCGCGGGAAUACGUAGGGUGCAAGCGUUAAUCGGAAUUACUGGGCGUAAAGCGUGCGUAGGCGGCUUUUUAAGUCGGAUGUGAAAUCCCUGAGCUUAACUUAGGAAUUGCAUUCGAUACUGGGAAGCUAGAGUAUGGGAGAGGAUGGUAGAAUUCCAGGUGUAGCGGUGAAAUGCGUAGAGAUCUGGAGGAAUACCGAUGGCGAAGGCAGCCAUCUGGCCUAAUACUGACGCUGAGGUACGAAAGCAUGGGGAGCAAACAGGAUUAGAUACCCCCGUAGUCCCUGUCUCUUAUAA